CUGUCUGUCUCUCCCUCCCUCCCUCUUCCCAGCCCAUACACUUACACGUAGGCAUAAAGACCUGCCUUCAAUUCCUGCCUCUAACACGAACUCACUAGGCCCUGGGCAUGUCAUUUAAUCUCUGUGCUCUAGGCACCUCUGGAAGCCAUAGUUUGUUCUCAUGCGGGCCCCUUGGAGAUUCCAGGGCAGGUUUCUGCUGGGUCGGGAAACACUUGGUAAUAAUCAGAGCAAAAGAGGGCUGGCUUCCACCCCCGAGGAAGUCAAUGCUUCACUCCAGGGGCUUCCUGCCCCAGUUUGGGCCUGGCUUAAUGGCUGCUGAGGUAGCUGCCAGUGCUGAGGCUCAUUCUCUGCCUCUAGAGAAAACACAGGCUUGUGAGCAGGGCUGUCCAGGCAACCCAGCAGUGCCAGGCUUGGGCAGGCACCCCUUGCCAGGUGCCAUUGUCUCCAGGAGACACGCCAGCCCAGUCCAACAUCUGCUCUGUGUGUCUGCCUGGCGGUCUUUGGGAAGGGAUGUUUAAUAUUCCUGGGUCAGGGCUGUGGAGGCUGUCAGCACCUUGGCAACCAGGUGCCUAAAGAAAGGAGCCAGGCUGCCCCGUGACCUGGUAUCCAGAAGCUUCUAGGCUGCUCCUGUGCCACCAGGGUGGUUUGGGUCAGAGGAAAAGUUGGAGACACUAUGGUUCUUUGGAGUUUUUUAGAAUGCUGUUUUUACUUCAUUUGAUUCUACUUGUGAGGCAGAGUGCUUUAGCGAGUAGAGAUCUUGCCUCAGAACCAGAAGACCUGCACUCAAGUCUGGCCUCAGACAUUGGAGAGCUGAGUGACCUUGAGCGAGUCACCUCUGACCACUAACUUCCUCUGUACAGUGAGGGGGUGGAUGCACUUAUGAACCUCUGAAAUCAUCUGCCCCCAGCCCUAAGCACCUGAAAUCAUGGGGGUCCUGUUGACAUGGGUUUCCUUGAGUAGUUCCCAGAAGCCUCUGGGAGCCUUUCCCACUUGCCCCAGCCUGGAUAAGAAGGCUUCAUUCCUUCCUCUCUGGAGUGGCUCAUCUGAACGUGGGGCCCUCACUCUAAUCAGACUUAGACCCGUUGGGCUUUGAGCCUGGGUGGCCACUCCGGGGCCCAAUGGGCUGCCACUCAGCCCAGCAGAAUCAGAGCCUCAUAAGGACUUUAGAGAUCCAUGUCAAGCCUCAUGGCCUGACCCAGGGGGGUGGGAUCAGUCACUGGGGACAGAAGGGUGUCUGGAAUCUCCCCCUCCCCAUAAGAGCCAGUUGUGGGCUUGUUUCCAGCACAGCCACAAUGACUUUUGUCCUACAAUACUGGCCCGCUGCCCUUCUCCCCCCGUCCCACCCCAUCCUUUUCCUCCAGUGCACACGUAGACAAUCCAGCAUGCUCCCAAGCAGGGGGCCUUUUGCAGGCAUCUCCCCAGGGCGCAGGCUCCCAGAACCGUGUCAAGAACAAAGAAAGUGUUGUCUACUAUAUCCCUUUCCCCAGAUCUUAUGUGCUAAGACAUGGGGCAAGAGGUCAGAAAGUACCCUAAGAGCCCCUCGAAGGCCAGGCUCAUCAGACAAGCCCAAAUUGUCACAGGCAGGUCAGCUGACUCAGGCUGUGGUCCCUAAAGACUCGUAUAAACUACUGACGAACUCCAGAGAACUUUAUUGCCCCAGGAUCUGCCAAAACGCCCCUCCACGUCCCAAAGGAUAGAAGCCAUAUGGAGCCGCCAUCCAAGCAGUCACAGGUAACCAGAACUGUGGAGGGCCCAUGUGUCAUUGGUUGGGGCCCCUGUUGUCUUGGGAAGCAUCCAACUCAUCUCAAAGCAGCUCCACUGGCCCCAUCUCCAGGCAAGGUAGCCAAGUGGGACUCUGGGGGGCAGGGCAGUGCUACCAAUGAGGCGUCAUGAGGUCAGUGGAAAGACAUGCUGAGUAUAAGUAUAUUACCCAUAGAAAAUUACACAACCCCAAAGCUUUAGAAGAUGUAGCUUCAAAAGGAAGCAUGACUAGCAGAGGAAGGACUCAUCGAACGUCAGGUUGACAGGAAUCCCUGAGUCUGAUGGACUAUGUGCUUGGGCAAAGGUUGAUUGAGGUUCAGCAGCAAUCCUGCAGACUCCCCCAACUGGAUUCCACACCUCGAAUCAGCCAAAGGAACAAAGAAACAUCAGCGUGACAGGUGGAGUGGGAUAGCUACACACAGUUUAGAUGAUUCUAAUUUUGUUGGCAACAUCUAAAGCAUCAUAGUCUCGAACAAGUCGGACACAGGCUUCUCUCCAUCAGGCGGGAUCCGAGUGUCGGCCUGGCCACCUCGAUGUCAUAAACGCCGUACAGCUUCUUCAUCGCCUGCUUGAUCUAAGGCUUGUCGGCCUCGACGUCUACAAUGAAGACAAGCAUGUUGUUGUCCUCGAUCUUCUUCAUAGCAGACUCAGCGGUCAAGGGAAACUGACUCAGGUUUUGGGCUGCCGUCAAAGUCUUGGUAUCUUGGAAGGAGCGCCACCUGGUGGCAACAGGAGGUAACUCCACGCCUCCCAAAUGGUACUAGGGUAGUGUGUCAUGAUCAAUAGGGAGCUGACCUCAGUCUUGGUUAAAAUCUGGGUUCAGAUCUGUCUCUGACACAUUCUGGCUUUGGAACCUGGGGAGAGUCACUUACCAGGCAGUCAAGUCAAGCCAAGCCAACAAGCACUUGUUAAGCACUUUCCACAUGCUGGCUGCUGUACUAGGCACUGGGGGGUAGCCAAAGGAAAAACCAUUCCUGCCCACAAGGAGCUUUCACUCAUAUGGGGGUGGGCCUGCACUGGGAAAGGCCAGAAAGUCCGAAUCCAAACCAGGAGUAGAAGUGAAAGAUGGCUAACCUGGUACCUUCCUCAGAAAUAUGGGCAUGCGUUGUUGAUGGAGUUGUGAACUGAUCUAACCAUUCU
This is a long non-coding RNA of Vombatus ursinus (common wombat), 2901 nucleotides long. RefSeq lists it as uncharacterized. The record is from RefSeq and is a predicted model, not a curated record. Lineage: Eukaryota; Metazoa; Chordata; Mammalia; Diprotodontia; Vombatidae. The transcript is spliced from 4 exons.